This 253-nucleotide ribosomal RNA is filed under the name uncultured bacterium. Its description in RNAcentral is "partial 16S ribosomal RNA". It matches the Rfam family "Bacterial small subunit ribosomal RNA", at positions 524 to 776 of the family's 1533-position model. The record is from RNAcentral.
GACAGAGGGGGCAAGCGUUGCUCGGAAUUACUGGGCGUAAAGGGCGCGUAGGCGGGAUGGCAAGUCGGUCGUGAAAUCCCUCGGCUCAACUGAGGAUCGUCGAUCGAUACUGCCGUUCUUGAGGAUUGCAGAGGAGACUGGAAUUCCCGGUGUAGCGGUGAAAUGUGUAGAGAUCGGGAGGAACACCGGUGGCGAAGGCAGCCCCCUGGGUCGACACUGACGCUCAGGCACGAAAGCGUGGGGAGCAAACAGG